This 186-nucleotide unclassified non-coding RNA is filed under the name Septoglomus sp. Its description in RNAcentral is "partial internal transcribed spacer region". The stretch from base 1 to 46 matches the Rfam family "Eukaryotic small subunit ribosomal RNA", at positions 1786 to 1831 of the family's 1831-position model. Lineage: Eukaryota; Fungi; Glomeromycota; Glomeromycetes; Glomerales; Glomeraceae. RNAcentral also lists the same sequence under 1 other name. The record is from RNAcentral.
AAGUCGUAACAAGGUUUCCGUAGGUGAACCUGCGGAAGGAUCAUUAAUGAUUUUUUAAGCAAACCAAGCGAAAGCGAGGUUUUGCGAAUAUAUUUAAAACCCCCCCACUCUUUACAAAGAAAAAAAUUUUCAUAUUCAUAAAUGAAUAAAAAAAGAUCACUUUCAACAACGGAUCUCUUGGCUCUC